UUGCCUUAAACUAAUGAGUAAGGAAAACAAAGCGAACGGUGAGAGCCGGUCGCAGCGCUUAAAACCGUGCAAACGUUUAAAAUGGCGCAAGAAUUUAUGGAAGGGUAAUAGGCUGGUACGAGUUGAUGACGCUGCUUACUUUUGCAGAACUCUCUUGUGCGGGCCUCCCCA
Small nuclear RNA from Capsella rubella, 171 nucleotides. It matches the Rfam family "U12 minor spliceosomal RNA". Rfam says of the family: Although the U12 sequence is very divergent from that of U2, the two are functionally analogous. The record is from Rfam. Lineage: Eukaryota; Viridiplantae; Streptophyta; Magnoliopsida; Brassicales; Brassicaceae.